Molecule: ribosomal RNA, 1009 nt
Filed under: Nagrajchalara unicolor
Lineage: Eukaryota; Fungi; Ascomycota; Leotiomycetes; Helotiales
Description: SSU rRNA
Rfam family: Eukaryotic small subunit ribosomal RNA
Source: RNAcentral
UCAUUAAAUCAGUUAUCGUUUAUUUGAUAGUACCUUACUACUUGGAUAACCGUGGUAAUUCUAGAGCUAAUACAUGCUAAAAACCUCGACUUCGGAAGGGGUGUAUUUAUUAGAUAAAAAACCAAUGCCCUUCGGGGCUCCCUGGUGAUUCAUAAUAACUUAACGAAUCGCAUGGCCUUGUGCCGGCGAUGGUUCAUUCAAAUUUCUGCCCUAUCAACUUUCGAUUGUUGGGUCUUGGCCAACAAUGGUUUCAACGGGUAACGGGGAAUUAGGGUUCUAUUCCGGAGAGGGAGCCUGAGAAACGGCUACCACAUCCAAGGAAGGCAGCAGGCGCGCAAAUUACCCAAUCCUGAUACAGGGAGGUAGUGACAAUAAAUACUGAUACAGGGCUCUUUUGGGUCUUGUAAUUGGAAUGAGUACAAUUUAAAUCCCUUAACGAGGAACAAUUGGAGGGCAAGUCUGGUGCCAGCAGCCGCGGUAAUUCCAGCUCCAAUAGCGUAUAUUAAAGUUGUUGCAGUUAAAAAGCUCGUAGUUGAACCUUGGGCCUGGCUGGCCGGUCCGCCUCACCGCGUGCACUGGUCCGGCCGGGCCUUUCCUCCUGGGGAGCCGCAUGUCCUUCACUGGGUGUGUCGGGGAACCAGGACUUUUACUUUGAAAAAAUUAGAGUGUUCAAAGCAGGCCUAUGCUCGAAUACAUUAGCAUGGAAUAAUAGAAUAGGACGUGUGGUUCUAUUUUGUUGGUUUCUAGGACCGCCGUAAUGAUUAAUAGGGACAGUUGGGGGCAUCAGUAUUUAAUUGUCAGAGGUGAAAUUCUUGGAUUUAUUAAAGACUAACUACUGCGAAAGCAUUUGCCAAAGAUGUUUUCAUUAAUCAGUGAACGAAAGUUAGGGGAUCGAAGACGAUCAGAUACCGUCGUAGUCUUAACCAUAAACUAUGCCGACUAGGGAUCGGGCGAUGUUAUCUUUUUGACUCGCUCGGCACCUUACGAGAAAUCAAAGUCUUUGGUCUGG